This 449-nucleotide ribosomal RNA is filed under the name uncultured bacterium. Its description in RNAcentral is "partial 16S ribosomal RNA". It matches the Rfam family "Bacterial small subunit ribosomal RNA", at positions 29 to 523 of the family's 1533-position model. The record is from RNAcentral.
AGCGAACGCUGGCGGCAGGCCUAACACAUGCAAGUCGAGCGCCGUAGCAAUACGGAGCGGCAGACGGGAGAGUAACACGUGGGAACGUACCCUUUGGUUCGGAACAACCCAGGGAAACUUGGGCUAAUACCGAAUAAGCCCUCACGGGGAAAGAUUUAUCGCCGAAGGAUCGGCCCGCGUCUGAUUAGCUAGUUGGUGAGGUAAUGGCCCACCGAGGCGACGAUCAGUAGCUGGUCUGAGAGGAUGAUCAGCCUCACUGGGACUGAGACACGGCCCAGACUCCUACGGGAGGCAGCAGUGGGGAAUAUUGGACAAUGGGCGCAAGCCUGAUCCAGCCAUGCCGCGUGGGUGAUGAAGGCCCUAGGGUUGUAAAGCCCUUUCGGCGGGGAAGAUAAUGACGGUACCCGCAGAAGAAGCCCCGGCUAACUUCGUGCCAGCCGCCGCAGUAA